UCCAGAGACAAGGAGAUGGUGAAAGAAGGU
This 30-nucleotide non-coding RNA is filed under the name Macaca fascicularis (crab-eating macaque). The record is from RNAcentral. RNAcentral also lists the same sequence under 1 other name. Lineage: Eukaryota; Metazoa; Chordata; Mammalia; Primates; Cercopithecidae.